GAUGAACGCUGGCGGCGCGCCUAACACAUGCAAGUCGAACGGCCGGACCCACCCCGGUGGGCGAGGCAGUGGCGAACGGCUGAGUAACACGUGGGCAACCUGCCCCCCUCCCCGGGACAGCCUCGGGAAACCGUGGGUGAUACCGGAUGUUCCGCCCCCUCCGCAUGGGAGGGGCGGGAAAGCUCCGGCGGGGGGGGGAUGGGCCCGCGGCCUGUUAGCUAGUUGGCGGGGCAACGGCCCACCAAGGCGACUAUGGGUAGCUGGGUUGAGAGACCGACCAGCCAGAUUGGGACUGAGACACGGCCCAGACUCCUACGGGAGGCAGCAGUGGGGAAUCUUGCGCAAUGGGCGGAAGCCUGACGCAGCGACGCCGCGUGCGGGAGGAAGGCCCUCGGGUCGUAAACCGCUUUCAGCAGGGACGAGGCCGCGAGGUGACGGUACCUGCAGAAGAAGCCCCGGCUAACUACGUGCCAGCAGCCGCGGUAAUACGUAGGGGGCGAGCGUUAUCCGGAUUCAUUGGGCGUAAAGCGCUCGUAGGCGGCCUGCCAGGUCGGGAGUCAAAUGCGGGGGCCCAACCCCCGGCCGCUCCCGAUACCGGCGGGCUUGAGUUUGGUAGGGGAAGGCGGAACUCCCGGUGUAGCGGUGGAAUGCGCAGAUAUCGGGAGGAACACCGGUGGCGAAGGCGGCCUUCUGGGCCACGACUGACGCUGAGGAGCGAAAGCUGGGGGAGCGAACAGG
This 738-nucleotide ribosomal RNA is filed under the name uncultured Coriobacteriaceae bacterium. RNAcentral describes it as "bacterial SSU rRNA". It matches the Rfam family "Bacterial small subunit ribosomal RNA", at positions 28 to 776 of the family's 1533-position model. Lineage: Bacteria; Bacillati; Actinomycetota; Coriobacteriia; Coriobacteriales; Coriobacteriaceae. The record is from RNAcentral.